Molecule: ribosomal RNA, 495 nt
Filed under: uncultured bacterium
Lineage: Bacteria
Description: partial 16S ribosomal RNA
Rfam family: Bacterial small subunit ribosomal RNA
Source: RNAcentral
GAUGAACGCUGGCGGCGUGCCUAAUACAUGCAAGUCGAGCGAACAGACGAGGAGCUUGCUCCUCUGACGUUAGCGGCGGACGGGUGAGUAACACGUGGAUAACCUACCUAUAAGACUGGGAUAACUUCGGGAAACCGGAGCUAAUACCGGAUAAUAUAUUGAACCGCAUGGUUCAAUAGUGAAAGACGGUUUUGCUGUCACUUAUAGAUGGAUCGGCGCCGCAUUAGCUAGUUGGUGAGGUAACGGCUUACCAAGGGAACGAUGCGUAGCCGACCUGAGAGGGUGAGCGGCCCCGCUGGAGCUGAGAGCCGGACCAGACUCCUGCGAGAGGCAGCAGUAGGGAAUGUGGCGCAAUGGGCGAAUGCCUGACGGAGCAACGCCGCGUGAGUGAUGAAGGUCUUGGGAUCGAAAAACUCUGUUAGUAGGGAAGAACAAAUGUGUAAGUAACUAUGCAGGUCUUGACGGUAGCUAAUCAGAAAGCCGCGGCUAACUACG